Molecule: ribosomal RNA, 417 nt
Filed under: uncultured bacterium
Lineage: Bacteria
Description: partial 16S ribosomal RNA
Rfam family: Bacterial small subunit ribosomal RNA
Source: RNAcentral
AAUAUUCGACAAUGGAGGCAACUCUGAACCAGCCACGCCGCGUGAAUGAUGACGGCCCUAUGGGUUGUAAACUUCUUUUGUAUGGGAAUAAACCUUUCUACGUGUAGGAAGCUGAAGGUACCAUUCGAAUAAGCAUCGGCUAACUCCGUGCCAGCAGCCGCGGUAAUACGGAGGAUCCAAGCGUUACCCGGAUUUAUUGGGUUUAAAGGGUGCGUAGGCGGCCCGUUAAGUCAGGGGUGAAAGACGGCAGCUCAUCUGUCGCAGUGCCUUUGAUACUGACGGGCAUGAAUGCGGAUGAGGUAGGCGGAAUGAGACAAGUAGCGGUGAAAUGCAUAGAUAUGUCUCAGAACUCCGAUUGCGAAGGCAGCUUACUAAGCCGUGAUUGACGCUGAUGCACGAAAGCGUGAGGAUCAAACA